RNAcentral lists this ribosomal RNA (253 nucleotides) under uncultured bacterium. RNAcentral describes it as "partial 16S ribosomal RNA". It matches the Rfam family "Bacterial small subunit ribosomal RNA", at positions 524 to 776 of the family's 1533-position model. The record is from RNAcentral.
UACGAAGGGUGCAAACGUUGCUCGGAAUUAUUGGGCGUAAAGCGCACGUAGGCGGCUUAGCAAGUCGGAUGUGAAAUCCCUCGGCUCAACCAAGGAAGUGCAUCCGAAACUGCUGAGCUUGAGUACGAAAGAGGAUCGCGGAAUUCCCGGUGUAGAGGUGAAAUUCGUAGAUAUCGGGAGGAACACCAGUGGCGAAGGCGGCGAUCUGGGUCGAUACUGACGCUGAGGUGCGAAAGCGUGGGUAGCAAACAGG